Molecule: non-coding RNA, 97 nt
Organism: Paramuricea clavata
Lineage: Eukaryota; Metazoa; Cnidaria; Anthozoa; Malacalcyonacea; Plexauridae
Source: the annotation of a GenBank genome assembly
CAAAGUUGAUCGUGUUUAUGACGUCGAAUAUCGACGUCAUAAACACCAAAGUUGAUCGUGUUUAUGACGUCGAAUAUCGACGUCAUAAACACCAAAA